This 820-nucleotide ribosomal RNA is filed under the name uncultured bacterium. Its description in RNAcentral is "bacterial SSU rRNA". It matches the Rfam family "Bacterial small subunit ribosomal RNA", at positions 58 to 916 of the family's 1533-position model. The record is from RNAcentral.
CAAGUCGAGCGCGUACCUUCGGGUACGAGCGGCGGACGGGUGAGUAACGCGUAGGUGAUCUACCCUUUGGUGGGGGAUAACCCAGGGAAACUUGGGCUAAUACCGCACGAGGUCUUCGGAUCAAAGCCUUCGGGCGCCAGAGGAUGAGCCUGCGUCGCAUUACCUAGUUGGUAGGGUAAUGGCCUACCAAGGGGACGAUGCGUAGCUGGUCUGAGAGGAUGAUCAGCCACACUGGGACUGAGACACGGCCCAGACUCCUACGGGAGGCAGCAGUGGGGAAUAUUGCGCAAUGGGGGAAACCCUGACGCAGCCACGCCGCGUGGGUGAUGAAGGCCUUCGGGUCGUAAAGCCCUGUCGGGAGGGACGAAUUCAUGACGGUACCUCCAAAGAAAGCACCGGCUAACUCCGUGCCAGCAGCCGCGGUAAUACGGAGGGUGCGAGCGUUGCUCGGAAUUACUGGGCGUAAAGCGUACGCAGGCUGCUGUACAAGUCGGGUGUGAAAGCCCGGGGCUCAACCCCGGAAAUGCGCCCGAGACUGUACGGCUUGAAUGCGGGAGAGGAUAGCGGAAUUCCUGGUGUAGAGGUGAAAUUCGUAGAUAUCAGGAGGAACACCUGUGGCGAAAGCGGCUAUCUGGCCCGACAUUGACGCUCAUGUACGAAAGCGCGGGGAGCAAACAGGAUUAGAUACCCUGGUAGUCCGCGCCGUAAACGAUGAGUGCUAGCUGCUGGGAAUGUUUACCGUUUCAGUGGCGAAGCUAACGCAUUAAGCACUCCGCCUGGGAAGUACGGCCGCAAGGCUAAAACUCAAAGGAAUUGACGG